RNAcentral lists this ribosomal RNA (708 nucleotides) under uncultured bacterium. RNAcentral describes it as "bacterial SSU rRNA". It matches the Rfam family "Bacterial small subunit ribosomal RNA", at positions 125 to 851 of the family's 1533-position model. The record is from RNAcentral.
CCUGCCCCAUGCCGGGGGAUAACAGCUGGAAACGGCUGCUAAUACCGCAUAAGCGCACAGAGCUGCAUGGCUCGGUGUGAAAAACUCCGGUGGUAUGGGAUGGGCCCGCGUCUGAUUAGGCAGUUGGCGGGGUAACGGCCCACCAAACCGACGAUCAGUAGCCGGCCUGAGAGGGCGACCGGCCACAUUGGGACUGAGACACGGCCCAAACUCCUACGGGAGGCAGCAGUGGGGAAUAUUGCACAAUGGGGGAAACCCUGAUGCAGCGACGCCGCGUGAGCGAAGAAGUAUUUCGGUAUGUAAAGCUCUAUCAGCAGGGAAGAUAAUGACGGUACCUGACUAAGAAGCCCCGGCUAACUACGUGCCAGCAGCCGCGGUAAUACGUAGGGGGCAAGCGUUAUCCGGAUUUACUGGGUGUAAAGGGAGCGUAGACGGCAAGGCAAGUCUGAUGUGAAAACCCAGGGCUUAACCCUGGGACUGCAUUGGAAACUGUCUGGCUCGAGUGCCGGAGAGGUAAGCGGAAUUCCUAGUGUAGCGGUGAAAUGCGUAGAUAUUAGGAAGAACACCAGUGGCGAAGGCGGCUUACUGGACGGUAACUGACGUUGAGGCUCGAAAGCGUGGGGAGCAAACAGGAUUAGAUACCCUGGUAGUCCACGCUGUAAACGAUGAAUGCUAGGUGUUGGGGAGCAAAGCUCUUCGGUGCCGCCG